GAUGAAGAACGUAGCGAAAUGCGAUAAGUAGUGUGAAUUGCAGAAUUCAGUGAAUCAUCGAAUCUUUGAACGCACAUUGCGCCCCUUGGUAUCCCGAGGGGCAUGCCUGUUCGAGCGUCAUUUCACCAUUCAAGCCUGGCUUGGUGUUGGGCGACGUCCCCUUUGGGGACGCGCCUCGAAACGCUCGGCGGCGUGGCACCGGCUUUAAGCGUAGCAGAAUCUUUCGCUUUGGAAGUCGGGGCCCCGUCUGCCGGAAGACCUACUCGCAAGGUUGACCUCGGAUCAGGCAGGGAUACCCGCUGAACUUAAGCAUAUCAAUAAGCGGAGGA
This 329-nucleotide unclassified non-coding RNA is filed under the name soil metagenome. RNAcentral's name for it is "partial contains 5.8S ribosomal RNA, internal transcribed spacer 2, and large subunit ribosomal RNA". The stretch from base 1 to 120 matches the Rfam family "5.8S ribosomal RNA", at positions 35 to 154 of the family's 154-position model. The record is from RNAcentral.